This 449-nucleotide ribosomal RNA is filed under the name uncultured prokaryote. Its description in RNAcentral is "bacterial SSU rRNA". It matches the Rfam family "Bacterial small subunit ribosomal RNA", at positions 355 to 796 of the family's 1533-position model. The record is from RNAcentral.
UGGGGAAUAUUGGACAAUGGGGGAAACCCUGAUCCAGCCAUGCCGCGUGUGUGAAGAAGGCCUUCGGGUUGUAAAGCACUUUCAGCAGGAAAGAAAAGCCUGGGGCUAAUACCUCCGGGUAUUGACGGUACCUGCAUAAGAAGCACCGGCUAACUCCGUGCCAGCAGCCGCGGUAAUACGGAGGGUGCAAGCGUUAAUCGGAAUUACUGGGCGUAAAGCGCGCGUAGGUGGUUUGGUAAGUCGGGUGUGAAAGCCCCGGGCUUAACCUGGGAAUGGCAUUCGAUACUGCCUGACUAGAGUGUGAUAGAGGGAAGUGGAAUUCCGCAUGUAGCGGUGAAAUGCGUAGAGAUGCGGAGGAACACCAAUGGCGAAGGCAACUUCCUGGAUCAACACUGACACUGAGGUGCGAAAGCGUGGGUAGCAAACAGGAUUAGAUACCCCCGUAGUCC